UGAGGAAUAUUGGUCAAUGGACGUAAGUCUGAACCAGCCAAGUAGCGUGCAGGAUGACUGCCCUAUGGGUUGUAAACUGCUUUUAUGCGGGGAUAAAGUCAGCCACGUGUGGUUGUUUGCAGGUACCGCAUGAAUAAGGACCGGCUAAUUCCGUGCCAGCAGCCGCGGUAAUACGGAAGGUCCAGGCGUUAUCCGGAUUUAUUGGGUUUAAAGGGAGCGUAGGCUGUUGGUUAAGCGUGUUGUGAAAUGUAGAUGCUCAACAUCUGAAUUGCAGCGCGAACUGUCCGACUUGAGUGCGCGGAAAGCAGGCGGAAUUCGUUGUGUAGCGGUGAAAUGCUUAGAUAUGACGAAGAACUCCGAUUGCGAAGGCAGCUUGCUGUAGCGUAACUGACGCUGAAGCUCGAAAGUGCGGGUAUCGAACA
RNAcentral lists this ribosomal RNA (422 nucleotides) under uncultured Prevotella sp. RNAcentral describes it as "bacterial SSU rRNA". It matches the Rfam family "Bacterial small subunit ribosomal RNA", at positions 355 to 774 of the family's 1533-position model. The record is from RNAcentral. Lineage: Bacteria; Pseudomonadati; Bacteroidota; Bacteroidia; Bacteroidales; Prevotellaceae.